RNAcentral lists this ribosomal RNA (440 nucleotides) under uncultured bacterium. RNAcentral's name for it is "partial 16S ribosomal RNA". It matches the Rfam family "Bacterial small subunit ribosomal RNA", at positions 338 to 795 of the family's 1533-position model. The record is from RNAcentral.
CCUACGGGAGGCAGCAGUGGGGGAUAUUGCACAAUGGGGGAAACCCUGAUGCAGCGACGCCGCGUGGGUGAAGAAGCGCCUCGGCGCGUACAGCCCUGUCAGCAGGGAAGAAAAUGACGGAACCUGAAGAAGAAGCCCCGGCUAACUACGUGCCAGCAGCCGCGGUAAUACGUAGGGGGCAAGCGUUAUACGGAUUUACUGGGUGUAAAGGGGGCGCAGACGGCGAUGCAAGCCAGGAGUGAAAGCCCGGGGCCCAACCCCGGGACUGCUCUUGGAACUGCGUGGCGAGAGUGCAGGAGGGGCAGGCGGAAUUCCUGGUGUAGCGGUGAAAUGCGUAGAUAUCAGGAGGAACACCGGUGGCGAAGGCGGCCUGCUGGACUGCAACUGACGUUGAGGCCCGAAAGCGUGGGGAGCAAACAGGAUUAGAUACCCCAGUAGUC